UGGGGAAUAUUGCACAAUGGGCGCAAGCCUGAUGCAGCCAUGCCGCGUGUGUGAAGAAGGCCUUCGGGUUGUAAAGCACUUUCAGCGAGGAGGAAGGUGGUGAGCUUAAUACGCUCAUCAAUUGACGUUACUCGCAGAAGAAGCACCGGCUAACUCCGUGCCAGCAGCCGCGGUAAUACGGAGGGUGCAAGCGUUAAUCGGAAUUACUGGGCGUAAAGCGCACGCAGGCGGUUUGUUAAGUCAGAUGUGAAAUCCCUGGGCUCAACCUGGGAACUGCAUUUGAAACUGGCAAGCUAGAGUCUCGUAGAGGGGGGUAGAAUUCCAGGUGUAGCGGUGAAAUGCGUAGAGAUCUGGAGGAAUACCGGUGGCGAAGGCGGCCCCCUGGACGAAGACUGACGCUC
Molecule: ribosomal RNA, 401 nt
Filed under: uncultured bacterium
Lineage: Bacteria
Description: partial 16S ribosomal RNA
Rfam family: Bacterial small subunit ribosomal RNA
Source: RNAcentral